GUAUCCGUAGCUUAGUUGGCUAAAGCGCUUGACUGUGACUCAGGAGACCGCGGGUUCGAGUCCCGUCGGAUACC
This 74-nucleotide transfer RNA is filed under the name Oscillospiraceae bacterium. RNAcentral's name for it is "tRNA-His". It matches the Rfam family "tRNA". Rfam says of the family: Transfer RNA (tRNA) molecules are approximately 80 nucleotides in length. Their secondary structure includes four short double-helical elements and three loops (D, anti-codon, and T loops). Lineage: Bacteria; Bacillati; Bacillota; Clostridia; Eubacteriales; Oscillospiraceae. The record is from RNAcentral.